This is a non-coding RNA of Xyrichtys novacula (pearly razorfish), 5169 nucleotides long. NCBI's taxonomy places the organism in Eukaryota, Metazoa, Chordata, Actinopteri, Labriformes, Labridae. The record is from the annotation of a GenBank genome assembly.
AUUGAUUGUGUUUCUUGAAUUAUGAGGAGGCCUAAAUCAUGACUCACAUUAAAGUUCAGCUCUAAUGGGGAUUAAAUUGAAUAUUCUCUCUAUUUUAAUGCAGAAAAUCAGGGUUGUCUUGUUUGUGAUUCAUUAAAGGACUUUUAUUUCAGAGAAAUAUCAAAUGUUGUCACUAAAAUCAACAUGAAAGGGCCUUGAUAUUAUUUUUUAAAAACGAAUGAAUGAUGAAUAUGCAGUUAUGCAAAUCGCCACUCUUACUUAUUGAUCCAAGAAAAAAGAAAAAUCUAUCAGCAUCCACUCUGAUGGUUCGCCAUCUUGUUCCCAAGACGUCAAAGACCGUUUACUGUCUCCACCUGAAGCACCAUACAUUCACUCUCAGGCUCUCGUUUUUUUUUUUUUGCAUCUCCUUUAUUUCUCUCUGGCUCCUCUUCUCCUUCAACCUUUCAGGAAUAAACGCUGUCAAGUGACGCUCGUGCUUAGCCCAGCUCUUAAUCAGCACUCAGCUCGCGGCUCCAUUCACUCACAGCGCCAUCACUUCAGUCUGGAAAGUCCCCUCAGCAAGAUCAAUGCGACCCUUUUUUUUUUCCAGAAGACCCUCGACCUGCUGCUGCUGCUGCUGCUGCUGCAAGAACCGAGCACACACACUGCAGGAUGGGCCUGCUGGGAGCGCGUGCGUGCAGAAUGCAAUUUCUUGCUUUACAGUGCGCAAUAAUGUGUGUAACCUGCGACUCCAUAAAUAUGUUGUGCAUGCAUCUUUUUUUCUUCACAGGUGCGUGCAUGUUUGCAUAAGCGCGUUCACGAGAUUGGUGUCCCAUUAAUGUGCAGUGGCGCCUGUGUGUGUGUGCAUACAAGGAGCAUAAAUACACAUCUAGUCUGCAUGGUGAGGCCUGUGCGUGCAUGUUUGCGCGCCUCAGAGAGAAGCACGGAGACAGACAGAGCAGGGCAGCAGCGCGCAUACUAAUCAUAUCUGUCUGUCAGUUUAAUUUUCAGAGAUGAGCAGUUCUGGCGUUUGGAAACAGCGGAGCGGUGCGCGGUGUGGGACCGCCGGCUUCCCGGAGCAGAUGCUGCCCUAUCGAUCCGCCCCGCGCGCAGCCAGCACGGAGGGAUGCGUGUAUGGAUGGCGAGUAGCUGGAGGUAAAAUGGUCAACAGCUACAGAGCGAAAAUAAAAGGUCCUUCUGGAAGGUCGGGGUGAAAGUUCACCUUCUGUGGCAGGAAAAUACGAGAAGAGAGGCUGACACCCGAGCUGCGAGGGCCCCAAACUUUUUACACUGGGAAGCUGACACCCCAUGGGGCGUCCGGGGUCCGGGUUUGUCAACACCGGGUCACACAGACACACUUAUAACUCAGCAACAAAAAAAUAUAAAUAUUAUUUUCAUGCGUAAAGAGAAGCCAUAGUGAGAGAAACUGUGAUCUAAAUAUACAACCCUGACGUUAAAGCGAUUGAUUUCUCUCUGCACAACAUGCUGCACAUACAUUAUGCCAGUAUAUCCAUUUGUGUUCCCAUCCAGAGUCACUCCCUCCUGCAGCAGGAUCAGCAACAUUACAGCCAAAACAUUUACAUUUCAGCCAUUUAGCUGAUGCUCUCAGAGGGACUUACAGUGAGGGCAGCUGCAGCAGGAGCAUCAAACCUUCCAUUACCCAUCCAGGGCCAUAAAUAUAACCGAGGAAUACUCGCAUUUUAGCCAUUUAGCCGCAGCUCCUUCAUCCAAAGUGACUUUCAAUAUGCUGCCUGUAGAAUAAGCUUUUAAUCUGCAGCCAAUACUGAGCGUGUUUAGAUUUUAACCGUUUUGCUUGCCUGCAUGAUGCAUCCAUCCUGAGGGACGUGUACGGGCCUACAUCAAAUCCUGCAUCGCCGAUAUUACAAGCAGCCAAUAGCGAGGGGGUCAAGGGUCAGGGGACAUCGGUGUGACAUUGAGAUGACCAUUCAUGUGCUGCUGCUGAGGGAUAAAUAGAAUCAGGCAGAAAUUCAAAGGGUGUGUUUUCAGCGAGAGAUGAAUCCACAGGGGGGAGAAACGUCUUCUCAGAGCGCAGAUGAGUUUCCAGGAGUGAUAUGUCAAGAUUCAUCAAUUCAUAUUUUAUUUAGAGAAAAUAAGCAAGAUAGGUGCGUGAUUGUUUUUCUGCAGCAGUGGAUCCCGAAAGGCCUGCAAACAUCCCCGAGCUGCAGCAGCAGCAGCAGCAGCAGCAGCAGCAGGAACGACGUGAUAGAGAGAAACAUCAGGCUGCAUUAUUCAUCCUGGACUUUACAGCGUUUUACGCCCCCCAAAACCUGCUGUUUAAUCAGCGAGUAAACGUGAUCACUUAUUGGUAAAUGAUAAUAAAUGGAGUGCACGUGCAGGGUUUGAAUGAGAUAUUGACCCCUCUGUAUGCAGCAGCGAAAAACAAUAAGAGAAUAAAAAGGGCGUAAAUGACGCUUUUUACGCAGCGUGCGUCAAAGAAGAGGAAUAUGGUGAAUAAAUUAAGAGGAUUUUAAUUUUUAUGGCUUUAACUCUGUGUUUGAGUGAAAAGUUAAUGAAUGUUUUUUUUCUGAAAUAAUUUUUUUAAGAUUUCCUGUCAUGUUAUAUCAAGUCAUGAGGACAGGGUUUGGUUAAUGGCGGUGAAUAAAUCCUUGUUCUCCAUCUAAUUUGGACAUAUUUAAUCACACACACCAUAAUAAUGCACCCUGCAUUUGGUGUGACAUCCACUUCACACUUUCUCUGCCUCAAAGUGUGUCAGUCAUGACCGCACACACGUCAAAACAAGACACAGAGAGUAGUACAAAAUAAUGCACAAAAAUAUAAGACCACACUUUAUUUUUCUAUUUUAUUUAUUGUCAAGUUUAUACACACAUAAAAACACAAAAAAGCAGUACAAUGUGGCACUUCCAGCUCUUAUUUUGAAAGGGAACAAAAGUUUACGCUUUUUAAACAUCGUGAUUAAUUUUCAGCUUUUGUGUCACUAAAACGACAAAAUAAACUGAAACCAGACUUAAGCAGGAAAAGUAAGAAUAUACAGUAAAACAAUUCACAAGGUGGGGAUCCUCCAUAUUAGCACGAGUGCAGAUAAAGGUGAUAAGGUAAACGGACGACUCCCAUCAAAGUUAAUGAUUUUUACAUAACAUGUACUAUCCCUGUUAUCACUGAGAGCCAUACUGCACCAAAAGUGUCCAAACUUGAGAGCAAUAAUAUCAUUUUAGUUUAAUUUGCACGUCAUAAAUAAAGACAAUAAAAGCUUAAAAAACGUGCAAAAGAGGUUUGAAGUCCCCAAAAGGUUGAAGAAGAUGUCCUAAAUGUCAAGAGUCAUGAAUAAUAAGCAGAAGAAGAGCAGUUAACUUUAUUAUCAGAUACAGGACUUUCUUAAUUGGGACUUUUUUAAUGUUUGUUGAAUGGGAGUGGACUAUGAAGUUUUCAGUUCCUCCAAAGACAUUGUCAUCUUGAUUUCAGUGUGUACUGAUAAAAAGUAAAUCCCAUAAAAUCUGUUUUAAUCUGAGGGUAUGAGGAAGGAAGUAAGACGAAAAUAAUCCCACUGACAGUAAUUUAAUGUUCAAUAUAUUCAAAUAAAAAAGAAACACCUGUCUGUUCACUGUUUACUUACUGGUGCAGGUAACACCACAAAGUGUGUAUUCCCAAAACACACACAUAUAUUCUGGCAGGUGCCUCUCCUGUCCUCGUGCUGAUAAAAAUAAUGCUAAUAAGUUUUUUUUAAUUAUUAUUUUUAUUGUUUGAGGAGUUUUCAGAGCCAACAAAACUGUUUUUCUAACUUUUUUUGGGGAGUCGAAAAGUGAAAAUGAAAUCCUGUUUAUCUUCUGUUUAUCCUCUCUUAUGUAAUAAAGUUGUCUGUGCCGUUUUUUACGGUGUGCUGUGUGUGUUCAAUUUUGCAUUUUGUUUUGUGGUAAAGGUGUGAAGCUGAACUCAAACUUUACUGUAAAGAUUUAAAAAUAAAAAAGUUAACCUGAUUCGUGCAUCUGUAGACGGAAAGUUCAACUCUUCGCGUAUUUUGAUCCAUGUGCGUAAUUUUGGCCACAGCUGCGUAAUUUUACUAUUACAGUAAAACAACUAAAAGUUACUGACACCAUAUAGAGCUGAAUGAAUCUGAGCUAGGAAAUCCGUCAUUUUAGCUUAAAUAUAACACACAUUUAUAAUAAAGUAUAUCAUAAACCUUCAAAAAUAUAUCCUAUCGCUCUUUAGUGCUGCCAUCUGUGAGCAUAAUCAGGCUGAUGUUUGAGUGUUUUACACUGUGGAGUCAAUGUAAGCUUAAAAUAAAUUUAAAAAACAAGAUAAAAUAUUGAAAAGACGUUUUUCGAUUCGAGAAAAAUAAAAAUAUAGGUUAGUGAAGGUUUUUAAAACAUUAUUGUGAAAUGAAAGACGCUGGUUUAAAGAGUUAUGUAAUUUUUAAUGUGACAUAAUGAAAUCGUGUUACUCUUGUGUUUCCCUCUUCCUUUUUUUUCCUCCUGUUGUCAUCUCCCUUUUUUAUUUCGCUCCCACCCUUAAACCAAUCGAUAAAAUCAAUUAUUACCACGAGACCUGGCGUUACACACAUCCCAAUGUGAAUAAUCGAUAACUGAAUUAAUUUGACCGGAUUAGAUCUGAAAGAGGAAGAAAAAAAAAGAUGAGCUAAAAAUAUAAUAACGGUGAUAAUCAGGGUGGAAAUGAUCAUCGAUGGAAAAAAACACCAAAUAUUGACUCCAAAGGUGAGUGACGCGAAUAUUUACCUGCAGCUGUAAAUGUUAAUAUUAAUAUUCAUAAUUAUAAUUUACCUUCAGAUUUAAGAUGUGGCCUCUUAUGACACAGAAAAAUAAAAAUAAACAGAUUUAAUGGAGCUUUUUAAAAAUAUAUAUGUAUUUCAGCACAGAGAACCUGCAGAGGUUCAUGUGCAUGAAGGCCUGCAGUGCAUGAACAGCGUGUGGCCUACUGCACAGACCUACACACUCUUAUUGAGGGUUAAAUAUAUGUAAUAAAAUACACUUUAUAUUAAUGUGUGCCUUUUCUUUUCUUCACAUUUAUAUUGUUGUAAAAAAUACAUUUAAAGACGCUUUUUUUCAUAUUUGAAUGUCUGCAUAAUAAAGAAAAAUGGGCCAGAGAUGAUAAAAAUAAGGUGCUGAGAUAAUUAUACAGAAAUUAAAAUGAUAUUUUCUGUUAAAUUAAAAUGAAUAGAUGGAGGUAAAUGAAAAAUAAAUACACACACACACUCAC